CGGGCGACGCGCCGGUCUAAGUCCCUUGGAACGGGGCGUCACAGAGGGUGAGAAUCCCGUACGCGACCGGUGACCGAGCCCGUGUGAAACCCCUUCGACGAGUCGAGUUGUUUGGGAAUGCAGCUCAAAUUGGGUGGUAAAUUUCAUCUAAAGCUAAAUACCGGCCAGAGACCGAUAGCGCACAAGUAGAGUGAUCGAAAGAUGAAAAGCACUUUGAAAAGAGAGUCAAACAGUACGUGAAAUUGUUGAAAGGGAAGCGCUUGCAACCAGACCUGCCCGCGGGUGCUCAGCCGUCCUUCUGGGCGGUGCACUCGCCCGCGAUCAGGCCAGCAUCGGUUCGGGCGGUCGGACAAAGAUCUUGGGAACGUAGCUCCUCUCGGGGAGUGUUAUAGCCCUCGGUGCAAUGCGGCCUGCCCGGACCGAGGACCGCGCUUCGGCUAGGAUGCUGGCGUAAUGGUUGUAAGCGGCCCGUCUUGAAACACGGACCAAGGAGUCGACCAACUGUGCGAGUGUUUGGGCGUCAAACCCACACGCGCAAUGAAAGUGAACGGAGGUGGGAACCCCUCGCGGGGCGCACCAUCGACCGAUCCAGAUGUCUUCGGAUGGAUUUGAGUACGAGCAUAGCUGGUCGGACCCGAAAGAUGGUGAACUAUGCCUGAAUAGGGUGAAGCCAGAGGAAACUCUGGUGGAGGCUCGCAGCGGUUCUGACGUGCAAAUCGAUCGUCAAAUUUGGGCAUAGGGGCGAAAGACUAAUCGAACCAUC
Molecule: ribosomal RNA, 763 nt
Filed under: Orientophila sp. 22 UA-2013
Lineage: Eukaryota; Fungi; Ascomycota; Lecanoromycetes; Teloschistales; Teloschistaceae
Description: LSU rRNA
Rfam family: Eukaryotic large subunit ribosomal RNA
Source: RNAcentral